CAUGACCGAUGAUGAUGUGCAUAUUGAUUUCACUUGGGAAGAGUGGACUUUGCUGGAUACUUCUCAGAAGAAUCUCUACAAAGAUGUGAUGCUGGAGACCUAUGAGAACCUCAAUGAUAUAGGAUACUCUUGGGAAGACAAUAUUAUUGAAGAACAUUGUGCAAGUUCAAAAAGACAUGACAGGCAUGAAAGAAGGCAAACUGGAGAGAAU
Cricetulus griseus (Chinese hamster) is the source of this 211-nucleotide non-coding RNA. Lineage: Eukaryota; Metazoa; Chordata; Mammalia; Rodentia; Cricetidae. The record is from RefSeq and is a predicted model, not a curated record.